GCGGAUGUAGUUCAAUGGUAGAACAUCAGGUUGCCAAUCUGAAUACGAGGGUUCGAUUCCCUUCAUCCGCACCA
Molecule: transfer RNA, 74 nt
Filed under: Helicobacter pylori
Lineage: Bacteria; Pseudomonadati; Campylobacterota; Epsilonproteobacteria; Campylobacterales; Helicobacteraceae
Also listed under: 5 other names
Description: tRNA-Gly
Rfam family: tRNA
About the family: Transfer RNA (tRNA) molecules are approximately 80 nucleotides in length. Their secondary structure includes four short double-helical elements and three loops (D, anti-codon, and T loops). Further hydrogen bonds mediate the characteristic L-shaped molecular structure. tRNAs have two regions of fundamental functional importance: the anti-codon, which is responsible for specific mRNA codon recognition, and the 3' end, to which the tRNAs corresponding amino acid is attached (by aminoacyl-tRNA synthetases). tRNAs cope with the degeneracy of the genetic code in two manners: having more than one tRNA (with a specific anti-codon) for a particular amino acid; and 'wobble' base-pairing, i.e. permitting non-standard base-pairing at the 3rd anti-codon position.
Source: RNAcentral